GGGUUGUGAGGUUAAGCGACUAAGCGUACACGGUGGAUGCCCUGGCAGUCAGAGGCGAUGAAGGGCGUGCUAAUCUGCGAUAAGCGCCGGUAAGGUGAUAUGAACCGUUAUAACCGGCGAUACCCGAAUGGGGAAACCCAGUGUGACUCGUCACACUAUCAUUAACUGAAUCCAUAGGUUAAUGAGGCGAACCGGGGGAACUGAAACAUCUAAGUACCCCGAGGAAAAGAAAUCAACCGAGAUUCCCCCAGUAGCGGCGAGCGAACGGGGAGGAGCCCAGAGCCUGAAUCAGCAUGUGUGUUAGUGGAAGCGUCUGGAAAGGCGCGCGAUACAGGGUGACAGCCCCGUACACAAAAGCGCAUGUGCUGUGAGCUCGAUGAGUAGGGCGGGACACGUGGUAUCCUGUCUGAAUAUGGGGGGACCAUCCUCCAAGGCUAAAUACUCCUGACUGACCGAUAGUGAACCAGUACCGUGAGGGAAAGGCGAAAAGAACCCCGGCGAGGGGAGUGAAAAAGAACCUGAAACCGUGUACGUACAAGCAGUGGGAGCCCCACCACCAAAGCAUUAUCUGGUGUUGAAGGCCCUGCAAAGCAGCAUCGCGGUGGCGGAGCGUCGUUUGCGACGCCCAACACACAAAACAAGCGGUGAAUGCUUUGGGGUGGGGUGACUGCGUACCUUUUGUAUAAUGGGUCAGCGACUUAUAUUCUGUAGCAAGGUUAACCGAAUAGGGGAGCCGGAGGGAAACCGAGUCUUAAUUGGGCGUUAAGUUGCAGGGUAUAGACCCGAAACCCGGUGAUCUAGCCAUGGGCAGGUUGAAGGUUGGGUAACACUAACUGGAGGACCGAACCGACUAAUGUUGAAAAAUUAGCGGAUGACCUGUGGCUGGGGGUGAAAGGCCAAUCAAACCGGGAGAUAGCUGGUUCUCCCCGAAAGCUAUUUAGGUAGCGCCUCGUGAAUUCAUCUCCGGGGGUAGAGCACUGUUUCGGCUAGGGGGCCAUCCCGGCUUACCAACCCGAUGCAAACUGCGAAUACCGGAGAAUGUUAUCACGGGAGACACACGGCGGGUGCUAACGUCCGUCGUGAAGAGGGAAACAACCCAGACCGCCAGCUAAGGUCCCAAAGUCAUGGUUAAGUGGGAAACGAUGUGGGAAGGCCCAGACAGCCAGGAUGUUGGCUUAGAAGCAGCCAUCAUUUAAAGAAAGCGUAAUAGCUCACUGGUCGAGUCGGCCUGCGCGGAAGAUGUAACGGGGCUAAACCAUGCACCGAAGCUGCGGCAGCGAACGUAUCACCCAAGACAACUUUACGGAGUUGACGAUUGACGGAGCGAAGCGACGUCAAAGCGUUCAUUAAAGUCGAGUUGGCUUAGGGAUACGUUCGUUGGGUAGGGGAGCGUUCUGUAAGCCUGUGAAGGUGUGUCGUGAGGCAUGCUGGAGGUAUCAGAAGUGCGAAUGCUGACAUAAGUAACGAUAAAGCGGGUGAAAAGCCCGCUCGCCGGAAGACCAAGGGUUCCUGUCCAACGUUAAUCGGGGCAGGGUGAGUCGACCCCUAAGGCGAGGCCGAAAGGCGUAGUCGAUGGGAAACGGGUUAAUAUUCCCGUACUUGGUGUUACUGCGAAGGGGGGACGGAGAAGGCUAUGUUGGCCGGGCGACGGUUGUCCCGGUUUAAGCGUGUAGGUGUGUGUUCCAGGUAAAUCCGGUUCACUUUAACACUGAGGCGUGACGACGAGGCACUACGGUGCUGAAGCAACAAAUGCCCUGCUUCCAGGAAAAGCCUCUAAGCAUCAGGUAACAUCAAAUCGUACCCCAAACCGACACAGGUGGUCAGGUAGAGAAUACCAAGGCGCUUGAGAGAACUCGGGUGAAGGAACUAGGCAAAAUGGUGCCGUAACUUCGGGAGAAGGCACGCUGACACGUAGGUGAAGUGAUUUACUCAUGGAGCUGAAGUCAGUCGAAGAUACCAGCUGGCUGCAACUGUUUAUUAAAAACACAGCACUGUGCAAACACGAAAGUGGACGUAUACGGUGUGACGCCUGCCCGGUGCCGGAAGGUUAAUUGAUGGGGUCAGCGCAAGCGAAGCUCCUGAUCGAAGCCCCGGUAAACGGCGGCCGUAACUAUAACGGUCCUAAGGUAGCGAAAUUCCUUGUCGGGUAAGUUCCGACCUGCACGAAUGGCGUAAUGAUGGCCAGGCUGUCUCCACCCGAGACUCAGUGAAAUUGAACUCGCUGUGAAGAUGCAGUGUACCCGCGGCAAGACGGAAAGACCCCGUGAACCUUUACUAUAGCUUGACACUGAACAUUGAGCCUUGAUGUGUAGGAUAGGUGGGAGGCUUUGAAGUGUGGACGCCAGUCUGCAUGGAGCCGACCUUGAAAUACCACCCUUUAAUGUUUGAUGUUCUAACGUGGACCCGUAAUCCGGGUUGCGGACAGUGUCUGGUGGGUAGUUUGACUGGGGCGGUCUCCUCCUAAAGAGUAACGGAGGAGCACGAAGGUUGGCUAAUCCUGGUCGGACAUCAGGAGGUUAGUGCAAUGGCAUAAGCCAGCUUGACUGCGAGCGUGACGGCGCGAGCAGGUGCGAAAGCAGGUCAUAGUGAUCCGGUGGUUCUGAAUGGAAGGGCCAUCGCUCAACGGAUAAAAGGUACUCCGGGGAUAACAGGCUGAUACCGCCCAAGAGUUCAUAUCGACGGCGGUGUUUGGCACCUCGAUGUCGGCUCAUCACAUCCUGGGGCUGAAGUAGGUCCCAAGGGUAUGGCUGUUCGCCAUUUAAAGUGGUACGCGAGCUGGGUUUAGAACGUCGUGAGACAGUUCGGUCCCUAUCUGCCGUGGGCGCUGGAGAACUGAGGGGGGCUGCUCCUAGUACGAGAGGACCGGAGUGGACGCAUCACUGGUGUUCGGGUUGUCAUGCCAAUGGCACUGCCCGGUAGCUAAAUGCGGAAGAGAUAAGUGCUGAAAGCAUCUAAGCACGAAACUUGCCCCGA
This 2973-nucleotide ribosomal RNA is filed under the name Salmonella enterica subsp. enterica serovar Typhimurium var. 5-. RNAcentral's name for it is "partial 23S ribosomal RNA". It matches the Rfam family "Bacterial large subunit ribosomal RNA". Lineage: Bacteria; Pseudomonadati; Pseudomonadota; Gammaproteobacteria; Enterobacterales; Enterobacteriaceae. The record is from RNAcentral.